Molecule: ribosomal RNA, 360 nt
Filed under: Triticum aestivum (bread wheat)
Lineage: Eukaryota; Viridiplantae; Streptophyta; Magnoliopsida; Poales; Poaceae
Description: partial small subunit ribosomal RNA
Source: RNAcentral
AUGAAUGCUUGGCAGUCUCGUGCUGAUGAUUACUCCCUCAUUCAGUGCGGCAUGCUUUACAGCUUAGAACCGGGGCUCCAAAAGCGUUUUGAGCACCACGAAGCAUAUGAGAUGUUCGAAGAGCUGAAACUAGUUUUUCAAGCUCAUGCCCGGGUCGAGAGAUAUGAUGUCUCCGACAAGUUCUACAGUUGUAAGAUGGAGGAAAACAGUUCUGUUAGUGAGCACAUCCUGAAGAUGUCUGGGUUGCACAACCGUAUGACCCAGCUGAACAUUAACCUCCCAGAUGAGGCGGUCAUUGACAGAAUCCUCCAGUCGCUCCCACCAAGCUACAAGAGCUUUGUGAUGAACUACAAUAUGUAG